AGUCGAACGCAACCUUCGGGUUGAGUGGCGGACGGGUGAGUAACGCGUGAGAAUCUGCCUUGGGGUCGGGGACAACCACUGGAAACGGUGGCUAAUACCGGAUAAGCCUUUGGGUAAAAGAUUUAUUGCCCCAAGAGGAGCUCGCGUCUGAUUAGCUAGUUGGUGAGGUAAGAGCUCACCAAGGCAGCGAUCAGUAGCUGGUCUGAGAGGACGAUCAGCCACACUGGGACUGAGACACGGCCCAGACUCCUACGGGAGGCAGCAGUGGGGAAUUUUCCGCAAUGGGCGAAASCUGACGGAGCAARACCGCGUGAGGGAGGAAGGCUCUUGGGUUGUAAACCUCUUUUCUCAGGGAAGAAGCUCUGACGGUACCUGAGGAAUCAGCCUCGGCUAACUCCGUGCCAGCAGCCGCGGUAAUACGGAGGAGGCAAGCGUUAUCCGGAAUUAUUGGGCGUAAAGCGUCCGCAGUGGGCGAUUCAAGUCUGCUGUCAAAGCACGGGGCUUAACUCCGUURAGGCAGUGGRRACUGAAUAGCUAGAGUGCCGURGGCGUAGAGGGAAUUCCCSGUGUARCGGUGAAAUKCGUARAGAUSCGGGAGAACAUC
RNAcentral lists this ribosomal RNA (604 nucleotides) under uncultured cyanobacterium. RNAcentral's name for it is "bacterial SSU rRNA". It matches the Rfam family "Bacterial small subunit ribosomal RNA", at positions 60 to 710 of the family's 1533-position model. Lineage: Bacteria; Bacillati; Cyanobacteriota. The record is from RNAcentral.